UACGUAGGGUGCAAGCGUUGUCCGGAAUUAUUGGGCGUAAAGAGCUCGUAGGCGGUCUGUCGCGUCGGCUGUGAAAACCCGGGGCUCAACCCCGGGCCUGCAGUCGAUACGGGCAGACUAGAGUGCGGUAGGGGAGACUGGAAUUCCUGGUGUAGCGGUGAAAUGCGCAGAUAUCAGGAGGAACACCGGUGGCGAAGGCGGCUUCCUGGUCCGACACCGACGUUCAGGCACGAAAGCGUGGGGAGCAAACAGG
This 253-nucleotide ribosomal RNA is filed under the name uncultured bacterium. Its description in RNAcentral is "partial 16S ribosomal RNA". It matches the Rfam family "Bacterial small subunit ribosomal RNA", at positions 524 to 776 of the family's 1533-position model. The record is from RNAcentral.